UAAAACCCGAAAGAUGGAGCCUCAGGUUCGCUCUCUGCGUUUCGGAUGCUGGAACCGAGAUUUCAAAAGAGCUUCCGGAGG
Molecule: unclassified non-coding RNA, 81 nt
Organism: Cebus imitator (Panamanian white-faced capuchin)
Lineage: Eukaryota; Metazoa; Chordata; Mammalia; Primates; Cebidae
Source: Ensembl